UGGACAAUGAGGCAACUCUGAGUCCGUUGGUAAUAAAAUAUAGCUUAUAAGGUAAGAACAGGAGUGCAGUUUUUCAUCCGCUCCAGCAGGCCGCGUCAUCGAGCUUUAGUUUAGUUACGUUACAGCUUCGGAUGCUUGACAACAACUCUUGAUAACAGUCGAAACAACACGUACUACAGACAAGUAUAACUUAUGCAUAUGGAAGCUCGGUUAAAAACUUCCAUAACCACUUAACAGCACACAUUUCAGACCAUAAACAAACCAAACUGACAAACGCUGUGAUAAAGCGCAGGAAUAGAAGGUGUCACGCGACUCGCCUAAUAUAAAGAAGAGUUACACUCAACAGAAGCACGUGGACACACAUUAAUGAUGGACAUCUGCUUAUGCACAGAAUAAGAGGUGUCUUGUUGGUUGUAAACUCGUCAAUCUGAAGCAGAGCUCUGGGACGUGUGGACAGACAUCGCCUGUAACGAUGGACAUCUGCUCAUGGCCAGUCUGUCCAAAAGCAUAACCACUGCGGGUCACAGUGCCGGAAGCUCCAGGGGGAGACCGUACUGGUAUCCCCCUUCUUUAGGCGCGCCUUCACACACACACACACCACCAUUCACUCAUAUCACAGAGACCUGGCUGGGAUUGAACCAGCAACCUCUGAACCCAUGAGGCAGUACUCUUACCUGUGAGCCACAGGUCUCUUGUUGGAAUAAAGGAAGGAACUUAUAUUUGACUGUUUAACUGUGAUUACCCAAUAAAGAAGUUAAAUCAAGCUGGGUACAUGAUUUUUAGAGGUGGGAUUUGAACCCAUGUCUCCAGGACAAUCUCAUCCUCAGAGAACAUGUGUUUAUCCACUCACCCACCAUGGAUUCCCCUUACUUUUUUUGGCAUGAGUAAGCAGUAUAGGGAUUUGAACUCAGAGCUCCCAGAUUAUAAGACAAUGCUUUAUCUCCAGAGCCACUGAGUCUGUGGAGUGAAGGUUUGUCUCAAGCUCAUCCUCAGAGAAUGUGUGUUUAUUGACUUACCCACCAUGUAUUCCUCAUUGUGUUCUGGCAUUUGAGUGAGUUUUUUGUUUGAGAUCAAUGUCAAGUAAGCAGUAGUGGGGUUUGAGUCCACAUAUCCCAGAUUAAACAAUGCUUUAUCAACUGAGCCACUGAAGCUAUAAACUCUGAACGUCAUUCAAUUUAAUAACAAUUUUAAAGUCACCAAUUGUGGGAUUUGAACGAAAAUGUAUCUCCUAACCCACUGAGUCUUGUGAGAUAAAAGAUCUUUUGGGCAGAUUUUUUUGCGUGUUGUGUAUGAUAUGAAGAAAAGCAUUGAGCUUUAGAACUGAUGUCUCAGUCGCAGCAUUAUCUCAAAUGACUGGUGUUUAACCACUAUAGCAUUCACAACAGCAACAUCCAUUCAGAGAGCUUCAUUUGAUUUAAUGAAAACGCUUUCAAGUAAACCCUUGUGGGAUCUCCCAGACAGAAAGAUAAAACAUCUUCUUCUGAGCCAUUGAAUCUGGGAGUUUGAUAAGUAUUUUGGACAAGGUUUUAGUGAGAGCUUUGUUUAAAAUAAUGAAAAGCCUUAACAAGUGUGGGAUUUGAACCCAAGUCCUAAUUAUAACCGUAUCUAAAUAGCAUAUCUAACCACUAAAUCACUGUGUUCUCAACAUGCAACAGGGACAUUUCGAAUACCUUGUUAAAUUUAACAUAAGCAAUAGUGGGAGUUGAACUCAGAACACCAAGAUAAAAAAAAAAAAGCUUUAUCAACAUAUUAAAGUCAAAGUUAUCCUCUGAGUUUGCAAUUACUUGUUUUGGGGUGUUUUUCAUGAGAUUUCACAGGUCAUGCUGAAAUUACCUGAUUAUUCAGAAAUGAAUCAUGAGUGACAUUCUCUCAAAUGAGAUCAAAUAUUCCGAUCAGUUUUUAACAAGCCAUACAGU
Carassius auratus (goldfish) is the source of this 1916-nucleotide long non-coding RNA. RefSeq lists it as uncharacterized. The transcript is spliced from 4 exons. Lineage: Eukaryota; Metazoa; Chordata; Actinopteri; Cypriniformes; Cyprinidae. The record is from RefSeq and is a predicted model, not a curated record.